Molecule: ribosomal RNA, 253 nt
Filed under: uncultured bacterium
Lineage: Bacteria
Description: partial 16S ribosomal RNA
Rfam family: Bacterial small subunit ribosomal RNA
Source: RNAcentral
UACGUAGGGUGCAAGCGUUAUCCGGAAUUAUUGGGCGUAAAGAGCUCGUAGGCGGUUUGUCGCGUCUGCUGUGAAAACUGGAGGCUCAACCUCCAGCCUGCAGUGGGUACGGGCAAACUAGAGUGCGGUAGGGGAGAUUGGAAUUCCUGGUGUAGCGGUGGAAUGCGCAGAUAUCAGGAGGAACACCGGUGGCGAAGGCGGGUCUCUGGGCCGUAACUGACGCUGAGGAGCGAAAGCGUGGGGAGCGAACAGG